RNAcentral lists this ribosomal RNA (253 nucleotides) under uncultured bacterium. RNAcentral's name for it is "partial 16S ribosomal RNA". It matches the Rfam family "Bacterial small subunit ribosomal RNA", at positions 524 to 776 of the family's 1533-position model. The record is from RNAcentral.
UACGGAGGGUCCAAGCGUUGUUCGGAAUUACUGGGCGUAAAGGGUGCGUAGGCGGCUCUCUAAGUCAGGUGUGAAAGCCCCGAGCUUAACUCGGGAACUGCACUUGAUACUGGAGGGCUAGAGAUUGGAAGAGGUGAGUGGAAUUCCUAGUGUAGAGGUGAAAUUCGUAGAUAUUAGGAAGAAUAUCAGUGGCGAAGGCGGCUCACUGGUCCAAUACUGACGCUAAGGCACGAAAGCGUGGGGAGCAAACAGG